Long non-coding RNA from Taeniopygia guttata (zebra finch), 2336 nucleotides. The record is from Ensembl. Lineage: Eukaryota; Metazoa; Chordata; Aves; Passeriformes; Estrildidae.
AUGGGGGAGGAAAAAAACCUGAGAAGAAUCAGAGAGAGGGAAAAAAGCCGCCGAGGUGGGGCAGAAUUUGCACUCACCCCGCACUCCCCUUUCCAAAAAAAAAAAAAAAAAAAAAAAAGAGGGAAAAAAACGGAACAAAAAGCCCAAGUCUGGAGGAAAUCAAAGCUGCUCUGCCUGCGAGUGCCAGCCGAGGGCUGCGGCGGGGAGCAGCCCGGGGUCCCGCUCCGGCAUCCAGCGCUGCUCCGCUCCGCUGCGCGCCCGUCCCGAGCCCCGCCGGGAUCCCGCAGCUUCCCGCGGAGCCCAACACCUCGGGGACACUCCCGCACCUCCCGCAUCCUCCCGCCGUGUGCGCGGAGGCGGAGGGGCCGCGUUGCCCGCCCGCCCCGGGAGCCGCCGCAGCUCUCGUCAGGUGUUUUACUGCCCCUCGCUCAUCCAGAACAAACGUCGAGAAUUUCUGCUCAGGGUGCGCUUCAGAAUUCACCCCGAGGUCAGCCCUGAAUGGGCUGCACUUCAAGGCUUUUUCCUCUGUGGAAUUUUUCCUAGGAAGAAGAAGAAGAAAAACAUCUCAGCCACUCAAAGUUGGAGCAUCCUUCUCCUCUCUUCCCCCUUUUAGUGUCAAGUGAGAGAUUUACCCAUCUCCCACCUCAGUGAUGCUUGACAGCAAAAUAUCCUGCUCCAAAUAUCAUCCCCAAGCUCACGAGCAGCUCCAGGAUUCUGGGAUGAGCAUUCCCAGCUUUACCAGGAACCAUAUAAAUAAUAUUUGUACAGCUCCCAGGACAAACAAACACGGGCAGGAAGCAUUUACAAACCCGGGCUGUGUUAAUUGCUUCUGCAGAUGACUCCACCUGAAAAUAUUGGAGGGUUUUGAUGAAAACUCACAGAUCAUGGCGCAUAGACAAUGAGGCAAACAUUUCCUUCAUUUCCUCGCUGGAUUUUGAAAUUAAAAAGGAAAAGAGUCACAUCUGUGCUCAGGAGUCCAUUUCCAAGCUCCCCACCCAGCUGGGUUGGCUUCCAUGGCUGGGCAGUAUGGAUUGAGUAGCUCCUAAAUUUAGGAUUUGCUCCUAGAACCUCAACUGGUGCACCUCAUGGGGAAUUUAUGGCUUGGAAAUGAAGAAUUUAUGAGGAGAAAAUGGUGGGGGAGGAGAAUUAACUCAAUAUUUUCUUCUAGGCUCGCCCUCCAUCCUCAACUCUGCAAUGAGAUUUGGCUUGUAGGGAUGUUUUCCUCUGAAUUAUGGCAAAGCCUGUGGGGUAAGAGUUGUUUGACUUGCUGGGAGUAUUAUUUCUAUCAAAAGAGCCUCUCAGAGAAUAAAAUUCCAAAAUGGGGUUUAUGUGGCAAUAUCUUUACUGAUUAAAAAGAAGGAGUAAAAUAAAGUAAAGUAAUGACUUUCCACUGGUUUUAUUCCUAUUUAUUUGAUGUGCCAGGAAAUUUUCACUGUUUCAGUGGGAACUGGAGUUAUCUUCAGCCUCACUAUCAGUUUUACAUCUAUUAUUGUGAGUUAUUUUUCUCAAUUAGUGAAAAGCAAAUUAACAAAUGUAAACACACUUUCUUAUUUCUGGAUGCUGGUGUGGAAUUAACUUGGGGAAAUCUGGGAAAUGCUGCGCUCAAGAUUCUGUGAGAAAAAAAUUAAAAUUCAUAGUUUUGUGUUUUAUGAUUUAUGAAUCCAUUGUGUUUCAUUGUAAACUAGGGGGGAAUUUUCACUGGAAUCCUAGAAAUAAACUGGAAACAAGAUGGAAGGAGUCAAAGUGACUCUUUGGGCACUGUGGUCUUUAUUUUGGGUAAUAAAUUUGUGCAGACUGGAAGAAGGCAAUGAAGCAUAGCUUGGAAAUGUAUUCCCCAGGAAUGUAUAUUUUAAAUAAAUGUCAAUUCCUUUUAACAGAAUCCACAGCUGACUUUCUAAAUAUCUUUGUCAGUGUUCCCAUUAGGCUUUUUUUUCAGUAAUUUAAGUUCACCCUGAGAAUUUUCCCUAUAUUUUUGGUGGGAAUUAUCUAAAAUCUUGUCAAUACUGUAUUUGUUAUACACUGGGUUUCAUCCUGGGAUGUUUGAGGCUGUGAUUUUUGGACAAAUAAGAAAAGAUUCUGAUCCUGUCUCAAUCAAUGUGGAAUUCUCUGUUUUCUUGAAUCCUGACCCAGGACUUUGAAUGCGGAAUUUCAUGAGUAAAUAUUGGAUUGAAUUUGUUGAAUCCACGAAGUGGAUUUUUGCCACUGAAGGAUUUCAUUGAGGAGGGUGAUUUAAGGGCUUUGAAUACUGUUCUCACACUCGGUGUUAUGAAAUUCAUCUGUCCACGCUCCCAAAAUCCCUUCCAGCUGUUUCAAAAGAGCAUUUAUUAACAUCUGCA